Molecule: transfer RNA, 69 nt
Filed under: Ictidomys tridecemlineatus (thirteen-lined ground squirrel)
Lineage: Eukaryota; Metazoa; Chordata; Mammalia; Rodentia; Sciuridae
Description: Spermophilus tridecemlineatus (thirteen-lined ground squirrel) tRNA
Rfam family: tRNA
About the family: Transfer RNA (tRNA) molecules are approximately 80 nucleotides in length. Their secondary structure includes four short double-helical elements and three loops (D, anti-codon, and T loops).
Source: Rfam by way of RNAcentral
GGAGUUGUGGCUCAGUGGUAGAGCACUUGCCUAACAUGUGUGAGGCACUGGGUUCAAUUCUCAGCACCA